Gossypium raimondii (Peruvian cotton) is the source of this 107-nucleotide small nucleolar RNA. It matches the Rfam family "Plant small nucleolar RNA R71". From Rfam's summary of the family: R71 is a member of the C/D box family of snoRNAs containing the C (UGAUGA) and D (CUGA) box motifs. Multiple nearly identical copies of this snoRNA have been identified in Arabidopsis, and it is thought to function as a 2'-O-ribose methylation guide for 18S ribosomal RNA. Lineage: Eukaryota; Viridiplantae; Streptophyta; Magnoliopsida; Malvales; Malvaceae. The record is from Rfam.
AUUCUGUGAGGAGGGAACUUCCGUAGUAAUUCUUUGUACCUUUCCCAUACCUCAUGUAAGGACUCAUCAUCCAUUUCUUGGAAAGCAGUGAUCUCGUUCCUCAACUU